RNAcentral lists this ribosomal RNA (445 nucleotides) under uncultured bacterium. RNAcentral's name for it is "partial 16S ribosomal RNA". It matches the Rfam family "Bacterial small subunit ribosomal RNA", at positions 354 to 796 of the family's 1533-position model. The record is from RNAcentral.
GUGAGGAAUAUUGGUCAAUGGGCGGGAGCCUGAACCAGCCAAGUCGCGUGAAGGAAGAAGGAUCUAUGGUUUGUAAACUUCUUUUGCAGGGGAAUAAAGUGCAGGACGUGUCCUGUUUUGUAUGUACCCUGAGAAUAAGGAUCGGCUAACUCCGUGCCAGCAGCCGCGGUAAUACGGAGGAUCCGAGCGUUAUCCGGAUUUAUUGGGUUUAAAGGGUGCGUAGGUGGUUUGAUAAGUCAGCGGUGAAAGUUUGCAGCUUAACUGUAAAAAUGCCGUUGAAACUGUCGGACUUGAGUGUAAAUGAGGUAGGCGGAAUGCGUGGUGUAGCGGUGAAAUGCAUAGAUAUCACGCAGAACUCCGAUUGCGAAGGCAGCUUACUAAGCUACAACUGACACUGAAGCACGAAAGCGUGGGGAUCAAACAGGAUUAGAAACCCCUGUAGUCC